GAGCAGGAUCUGUUACAGCCCGGCCGCGCGGUGCCCUGCUGUCGUUCCCCCUGCGCACAUCAGCUCGUUUCCUACUAUCCCUUCCUACUAUCCCUGUCCGCCUGCACUCCAGGGCCGGCAGGGACGCUUGGUCUCGGACAC
Molecule: small nucleolar RNA, 141 nt
Filed under: Lepisosteus oculatus (spotted gar)
Lineage: Eukaryota; Metazoa; Chordata; Actinopteri; Semionotiformes; Lepisosteidae
Description: Small nucleolar RNA SNORA63 (ENSLOCG00000019246.1)
Source: RNAcentral